CCCUACGGGUGGCUGCAGUGAGGAAUAUUGGUCAAUGGGCGAGAGCCUGAACCAGCCAAGUCGCGUGAGGGAGUACUGCCCUAUGGGUUGUAAACCUCUUUUGUCGGGGAGCAAAAGCCGGACGUGUCCGUCUGUGAGAGUACCCGCAGAAAAAGCAUCGGCUAACUCCGUGCCAGCAGCCGCGGUAAUACGGAGGAUGCGAGCGUUAUCCGGAUUGAUUGGGUUUAAAGGGUGCGCAGGCUGAUUUUUAAGUCAGCGGUCAAAUCGUGGGGUUCAACCCCAUCCAGCCGUUGAAACUGGGGAUCUAGAGUGUGCGAGAGGUAUGCGGAAUGCGUGGUGUAGCGGUGAAAUGCAUAGAUAUCACGCAGAACCCUGAUUGCGAAGGCAGCAUACCGGUGCACAACUGACGCUCAGGCACGAAAGCGUGGGUAUCGAACAGGAUUAGAUACCCGAGUAGUC
RNAcentral lists this ribosomal RNA (459 nucleotides) under uncultured bacterium. Its description in RNAcentral is "partial 16S ribosomal RNA". It matches the Rfam family "Bacterial small subunit ribosomal RNA", at positions 337 to 795 of the family's 1533-position model. The record is from RNAcentral.